CGACCUUGGCAGGGGUCGAACCUGCAAUCUUCGGUUUCGUAGACCGACGCCUUAUCCAUUUGGCCACAAGGUC
This 73-nucleotide transfer RNA is filed under the name Bryopsis hypnoides. RNAcentral describes it as "tRNA-Arg". Lineage: Eukaryota; Viridiplantae; Chlorophyta; Ulvophyceae; Bryopsidales; Bryopsidaceae. The record is from RNAcentral.